RNAcentral lists this transfer RNA (87 nucleotides) under Acidobacteriota bacterium. Its description in RNAcentral is "Acidobacteria bacterium tRNA-Leu". It matches the Rfam family "tRNA". Rfam says of the family: Transfer RNA (tRNA) molecules are approximately 80 nucleotides in length. Their secondary structure includes four short double-helical elements and three loops (D, anti-codon, and T loops). RNAcentral also lists the same sequence under 2 other names. Lineage: Bacteria; Pseudomonadati; Acidobacteriota. The record is from RNAcentral.
GCCGGGAUGGCGGAACUGGCAGACGCAGCGGACUCAAAAUCCGCCGGGCUUCGGCCCUUGGGGGUUCAAUUCCCCCUCCCGGCACCA